Molecule: long non-coding RNA, 199 nt
Filed under: Physcomitrium patens
Lineage: Eukaryota; Viridiplantae; Streptophyta; Bryopsida; Funariales; Funariaceae
Description: long non-coding RNA (PPAT_LNC013764)
Source: RNAcentral
CGACAUCUACCCCCUCCAAACCUGCACAUCCUCCGGUGUGUGCCACAUACUACUCUUCUUCAUCCUCUUGAGACUUCUUGGAAUCACUCAUAGAGUCUUCUUCUUCAUGUUCUUGGUCCAAAUAUUGAGGUAAGAAUUCUUCAAGAUCUUCUAUUUGAAAUUGCCGAUCUCUUCUUUUGAAAGCCUUCACCCUCUUCCC